CAUGUCCUUUUGUUUAAAAUAUAAGGUCGUAUCUGCUCAAUGAUAAUUUAAAUAGCCGCAGUAAUUUGACUGUGCAAAGGUAGCAUAAUCAUUAGUUUUUUAAUUGAAAGCUGGAAUGAAGGAUUUGAUAAGGAAAAAACUGUCUCAAUUUAAUUGAUUGAAGUUUAUUUUUAAGUUAAAAAGCUUAAAUAAAUUAAAAAGACGAGAAGACCCUAUAGAGUUUAAUAAUUUAUUUUAAUAAAAUAUAAGGUUUAAAAAUUUUUUGUUAAUAAUAAAAUAUUUGGUUGGGGUGAUUUAAAAAUUUGAAAAACUUUUUAUAUUAUAAAACAUUUGUUUAUGAAUAAUUGAUCCUUAUUUAAGAUUAAAAGAAUAAAUUACCUUAGGGAUAACAGCGUAAUUUUUUUAAAGAGUUCAAAUCGAAAAAAAAGUUUGCGACCUCGAUGUUGGAUUAAAGUUAAUUUUUAAUGUAGAAGUUAAAAUAUUUAGUCUGUUCGACUAUUAAAACU
This 506-nucleotide ribosomal RNA is filed under the name Ischalia sp. UPOL ZL0121. RNAcentral describes it as "partial 16S ribosomal RNA". The stretch from base 385 to 506 matches the Rfam family "Bacterial large subunit ribosomal RNA", at positions 2473 to 2595 of the family's 2925-position model. The record is from RNAcentral. Lineage: Eukaryota; Metazoa; Arthropoda; Insecta; Coleoptera; Anthicidae.